UUUUUGGAAUUAUUGUUUGUGUUAUUGUUGACGAUUUGCCUAUGGUAUCUGAUGUCCAAAGUUUGAUAAUUGUGUUUGGACAUUUCGUUUUUCUUAGGCAGAAAGUGAUUUCAGGCUUUGCGACACUGUUAGCUUAUCACAUAAGCUACCUGUUACUUUUAAUACCUGGUUACAUCCUAUUUUUCAAUAUCAAUGUUGUUUUCGUUUUGUUUAUAUUCCAUCUUGUUUGGUGGUUACAUUCCAAAUCUUUUUGUAAUAGCAUCCUCUGUGUUUGACUUUAGUUUGAUCUUAUGAAGACUCUUUGACUCAAUCCCAAUCUACUGAUGCUUCUGUGUUUUAUUGUCAAGUUCAUGUAAGCGUGGUUACUUCAGAAAGUGAAGAGCAUUGCUUGGACUUCAAUGGGAUUUACAUUGGUAUUUACUGGAUUGUCAGAGUCCGCCCAAGUGCUUAUUGGACUAUCUGGAGUUACUCCUAUCUGUAUCAUGAAUUCUUAUGUAAUUUUUCUGUGACGUGUAAUGAUUAUUGUUCCACUGAUAUUAAAAGAUGAUGACAGAGUUAUUACCCUUUUGAACCUUGUUGGUAUAUAAGUUAACUUCACUGUCCGGAAUCUAUACUCUUUUGUUUGGACCCGAAAUUUACAUGUGACAAUUAAGUUUGAGCAAAUGAAAUACACAAUGCUUAUGGUUUGAUGUGUUGGUCUUUGA
Molecule: small RNA, 704 nt
Filed under: Arabidopsis thaliana (thale cress)
Lineage: Eukaryota; Viridiplantae; Streptophyta; Magnoliopsida; Brassicales; Brassicaceae
Description: ATSL021410
Source: RNAcentral